This 933-nucleotide ribosomal RNA is filed under the name Alternaria malorum. Its description in RNAcentral is "eukaryotic LSU rRNA". It matches the Rfam family "Eukaryotic large subunit ribosomal RNA", at positions 1 to 951 of the family's 3401-position model. The record is from RNAcentral. Lineage: Eukaryota; Fungi; Ascomycota; Dothideomycetes; Pleosporales; Pleosporaceae.
UUGACCUCGGAUCAGGUAGGGAUACCCGCUGAACUUAAGCAUAUCAAUAAGCGGAGGAAAAGAAACCAACAGGGAUUGCCCUAGUAACGGCGAGUGAAGCGGCAACAGCUCAAAUUUGAAAUCUGGCUCUUUUAGAGUCCGAGUUGUAAUUUGCAGAGGGCGCUUUGGCUUUGGCAGCGGUCCAAGUUCCUUGGAACAGGACGUCACAGAGGGUGAGAAUCCCGUACGUGGUCGCUGGCUAUUGCCGUGUAAAGCCCCUUCGACGAGUCGAGUUGUUUGGGAAUGCAGCUCUAAAUGGGAGGUACAUUUCUUCUAAAGCUAAAUAUUGGCCAGAGACCGAUAGCGCACAAGUAGAGUGAUCGAAAGAUGAAAAGCACUUUGGAAAGAGAGUCAAACAGCACGUGAAAUUGUUGAAAGGGAAGCGCUUGCAGCCAGACUUGCUUGCAGUUGCUCAUCCGGGCUUUUGCCCGGUGCACUCUUCUGCAGGCAGGCCAGCAUCAGUUUGGGCGGUAGGAUAAAGGUCUCUGUCACGUACCUCUCUUCGGGGAGGCCUUAUAGGGGAGACGACAUACUACCAGCCUGGACUGAGGUCCGCGCAUCUGCUAGGAUGCUGGCGUAAUGGCUGUAAACGGCCCGUCUUGAAACACGGACCAAGGAGUCUAACAUCUAUGCGAGUGUUUGGGUGUCAAGCCCGAGCGCGUAAUGAAAGUGAACGGAGGUAGGAACCCGCAAGGGUGCACUAUCGACCGAUCCUGAUGUCUUCGGAAGGAUUUGAGUAAGAGCAUGGCUGUUGGGACCCGAAAGAUGGUGAACUAUGCUUGAAUAGGGUGAAGCCAGAGGAAACUCUGGUGGAGGCUCGCACCGGUUCUGACGUGCAAAUCGAUCGUCAAAUUUGGGCAUAGGGGCGAAAGACUAAUCGAACUAUCUAGUAGC